Long non-coding RNA from Clupea harengus (Atlantic herring), 360 nucleotides. The record is from Ensembl. Lineage: Eukaryota; Metazoa; Chordata; Actinopteri; Clupeiformes; Clupeidae.
AGACAUGCUGCAUUGGGAGUCGAUUGUUAGUUCCGAGAGAAGAUAAGUUAGGCAGUUAUAUUGUCAGUUUGUCCCUGAGCUGCAGUACUACUGUUCCCUUACGGCCCAGAUGAACACCAUGGAGAGACUAGUGGCCCUGUGCACCUGCCUGCUGCUGCUGCCGGGUGUGCUGGUCAACAUAGAGUGUCCCGACGUCAGCCUUGGCACCACCAGAGCCAGUCCUGGUAUUACCAGUUCCAACAUCACCACUGGCCUCAACAGCACCACCACUGGGCCUAUGAAUGCCAUGCCUAUGAACACCACAAAACCACAAGGACCUGACACAAACCAGACAACCACAAACAACAGCAGCACCACACC